ACACACGCACGUACCGGCUGCUCCGCAGGGACGUAGAGAGCCGCAGGCCCAAGGAGGGGCCGCCCCCGCCGAGCCCGCCCCUCCGCCCCAGCGCGGCCUGUCACCGCGGCCCCAGGUCGGGGGCUGCCGCAGGGCCCCCGGGGACCGGAGGGGCGCGCGAGGAGUCGGGCGCGGGCCUUGGGGCCAGGCCCGUCCCUCUUUCACAUGAAGCCCGGGCCGGGCGGGGUGGCGGGCGCGUGAAUCCUCGCAGCCGGCCGGGUCCUCCUGGCGCUCCUCGGCACUUCUAGCCGCUGCAACCCCGAGGCCCGCGGGAACUGGGCAGGAAAGGAGGAAGCCGCGGGCCCGCGUCGCUAGAGACCGGAGAAGAGGCGGGAGUGGCGACUCUGCGGACAGGGGCGCCGAGCGUCCUGGUCGUUGUUUUCGUCGCCGCCGCGGGCCGUGCAACCCCCGAACGCUGCGCCCAGCGGCCGCGGCACCCUCGUCAGGCGCCGCCGCUGAGGGCAGGCAGCCCGGCAGCCACUACACACGGACCCGUGACGUCGGGCGUAGCGCGGCGCACGUCACGGCCGCUCGCUCGUGCGCGCGCACCCCUCCGCCCGGCGGUAGCGGAACCCGCCGCGGGCGCGCGCCCGGCCCAGGGGAGUGGGUCGGCGCCUGCGCAGAGGCCCGCCACGCCCACACACAGGCCACCGCCCCCACCGGCCGGACGGCGCGGGGAUUCCCAGUCCUGGCUCCGCCCCGGCCUCGGCCCCGCCCCCGCCCCUGCCCCGGGGCAGCCUGUGCUGUUCCGUGUGCGCGGCGCAUACGCACCUGGGUUGUCUCGAGCCUGCGGUAGUGGCCAGAUCCCAGACAUCCGAGUAGAUCCCGUGAAAAGGUCUCCCACGUGGGCUGUGGACAGGGCCCAAGGGUAGCAGAGCUAGCAGAGGCAGUGACGGACUGUGUGGCAGGUCAUUUGCAAGGAGAAAAGCCGUCUGCCUCUUAAUUUGUGGCUCAAGUUUCAGAAUUUUUUUCCUGAGGGACUUUAGAAAUUACUUCAGGCUUGCCACCUAACCUUAAACCACCCCCUUGGAGACUGGCUAAGUGUUAUUUGUGUUUUCUGUUUAGUUCUUAUCACCAUCGAUACUUGGUUAUGACUGGUUGUGUACAUUGGUUAGCCCAGCAAGUAUUACUUCUCCAGCUUAACAGAUGUGGAAACUUAAGCCCAGAGACAUGAGUUGACACCCCACCCCCAAAGCUAGAGUCUAAAACCCUUUCUUUCGCUCCUCAUCUCCCACAGGAUAAAAUGCAAAUUAAUCAGACUAGUGGUGAGGCCCUCCGUGGUGUGACUAACCUGCAUCCCGACGUUUUCACCCUACUUUGAUCCAGAAAGCACCUUUCCGCCCCAUCUCUUCUCCUUUCCUUAAAUACCCCUUACAACUUCCUGUACCAUUCUUCCCUGUUCAGCUUCUUCUUGGUUUCUUCGUACAUUCUGGAUCCACCCCUUUCAUGCAUAUUCCAGACCACAUUUCCACUGGAGCAGUUGAAAUGAGAGAGAUGGGAAUGGGACUCACCCGAACCAGAGGAAUUUUUAUUACAGACCCAUUAACAGAGGUGUCAAAGUCACAGGAACAAGGAUGUGCACCUCAGAAACACAGAGACCUUAAAUGCUCUGGGGGAUACGGACUGAAGAGGUGUUGAGAGGUAACUGCAUACCUCUCACUUCUCAGGAACUGCCAGUUCCCUGGGCAGAAUCAGGACCUGGGACAGACCUGCCUGCUGAUGAGAUGGCCCCACACCAUCUGCAGGCCAGAUUUGGUGCUGUGGACAAUGUCGGAGGGGACAGUCUACAGGACAGCCAACGGCUUUCAAAAAUUCUGAUAUGAUCAACUGGUGACACUACUCAGAAGACUGUGUUAAGAAUUCCGAAUUGGGGCCGGGCAAGGUGGCUCAUGCCUGUAAUCCCAGCACUUUGGGAGGCCAAAGCAGGUGGAUUGCUUGAGCCUAGGAGUUCGAGACCAGCCUGGGCAACAUGGAGAAACCCCAUCUCUAUUAAAAAUAGAAAAAUUAGCUGGGUAUGGUGGUGUGUGCCACUUAGGAGGCUGAGGUGGGAGGAUCACCUGAGCCUGGGAUUCAGAGGUUGCAGUGAGCUGAGAUCGCGCCACUGCACGCCAGCCCACAGAGUGAGACCCUUCCUCAAAAAAAAAAAAAAGAAGAAGAAGAAGAAAGAAAAGAAUUUGAAUUGGGUACUAGGCAUAGUACCUGGGUGAUGAAAUAAUCUGUACCACAAACCCCCAUGAUACAAGUUUACCUAUAUAACAAACCUGCACAUACACCGUGAACCUAAAACAAAAGUUUACCAAAAAAAAAAAAAAAAGAAAGAAAAGAAAAGAAAAAGAAAAAAAAUUUCAAGACCUAGAUCAGAAAUCAGCUCCUUGGCCAGGCAUACUGGCUCAUGCUUGAGCAAGGCAGGAGGAUUGCUUGAGCCCAGGAAUUUGAGACCAGCCUGGGCAAUACUGUGUGACUUCAUCUCAAAAAAAAAAAAAAAGGAAAAAAAAUUAUAUAUAAAAUAAAGCAUUCUGAGGCUUCAUCCACUCCUCACUCCUCAGAGAAGUACUGAAGCUAGCUAGAGAUUUCUGCAGGGUGUGGAAUGGGGAGAAAGGCAGCGUGACUGUGUGUCACAUUUGUUUCUGACACCUUUUUGUAGGUCUGAAAUGCUUUUAAAUAAACAUUUUUAAGUAAUAUAUACGUGACAAAAAUUCAAACAGCAGCAAAGUACAGUGAAAAGUCCUCCCUCAUCCCCAGUGCCCUCCCACCCCAGGUAAUCACAGUUACCAGGAUUCAAUGCACAUCCAAACACAAACAAACACAAACCAUGGUGUGUUUAUUGCCCAUGGAGGCUCUGUCUCAGGUCCCUGGGAAUCAUUGGGAGUUGUGGAUCCCAGCACUUUGGGAGGCUGAGGCAGGAGGAUCGCUUGAGCCCAGGAGUUUUUUGAGACCAGCUUGAACAACAUAGUGAGACCCCAUCUCUACAAAAAAUUAAAAAAUUAGCCAGGUGUGGCGGUCCAUGCCGGUAGUCCCAGCUACUUGGGAGGCUGAGGCAGGAUGAUCACUUGCACCUGGGACGUUGAGGCGGCAGUGAGCCGUGUUCGCGCCACUGCACUCCAGCCUGGGUGACACUGCAAGACCCUGUCUCAAAAAAAGUAGUCAAGGAGGCUGAGAGCCAGGAAGCCUCUGGCCAGCAGGUGAGCAGGCCCUUUCCUGCUGCUGUGCAUUGUAUUUAAGAGAAAAGACAGAUACGUCUGAUACCUUCAAAGGUGUUCUUCAUACAGCAGGUUGCAACCUAUUAAUAGAUCAUAAAAUCAGUUUAGUGUUUCAUCAUCAUCAUCAAAAACCACCACCAACAACAAAAAGACCCAGAACAGAUAGUGUAAAGAGUGCAUCCCUGCAUUCCUGUAUAGGGAGAAAUAUGGUUUUGUGGAACCUUGUUGCGAUGUAAAGUGUACUUCUUAAGAUAAAUACAGGGUUGAGGUUUUUGAAAUAAAGUUUGAACAGGACCACCUUAAGCCACAGUGUAGACUUUCCAUAGGCCAAAACCUGGAUCACCAAGACAGUGUGCCCCAGGCUGCAGGCCACACUCCUGGGAGCCUCAGGCAACCUUGUGCAGGCCUGACUUCGAGACACUCUGAGCAUGAGCUGGUUCCUGGGUAGCCUCCCCUCUACCUCUCCCCGCUUGCCCUCCCUCCCUCCUUCUGCUCCUGUCUCUCCUCAUCCCCUCCCCGAGUUGCUGCCUCCUCCUCCUCCUCCCCCACCACCUCUCCCCGUCUCCGAGUUGCCUGCCCCGCCCCCUCCUCUUCCCCCUGCCCCUCUCCGCGUCCUUCCCGCCUUCCCCC
RNAcentral lists this long non-coding RNA (3869 nucleotides) under Homo sapiens (human). RNAcentral describes it as "non-protein coding lnc-PROC-1:14". Lineage: Eukaryota; Metazoa; Chordata; Mammalia; Primates; Hominidae. The record is from RNAcentral.